This 253-nucleotide ribosomal RNA is filed under the name uncultured bacterium. Its description in RNAcentral is "partial 16S ribosomal RNA". It matches the Rfam family "Bacterial small subunit ribosomal RNA", at positions 524 to 776 of the family's 1533-position model. The record is from RNAcentral.
GACGAACCGUCCUAACGUUGUUCGGAAUCACUGGGCUUAAAGGGCGCGUAGGCGGGCCAUCAAGUCCGGGGUGAAAUACUUCGGCUUAACCGGAGAAUUGCCUUGGAUACUGGUGGUCUAGAGGGAGGUAGGGGUCUGUGGAACUUCCGGUGGAGCGGUGAAAUGCGCAGAUAUCAGGAAGAACACCCGUGGCGAAGGCGGCUCUCUGGGACGGUACUGACGCUGAGACGCGAAAGCGUGGGGAGCGAACAGG